CAGGAUGUAGCUAACACAAAGCACUCAGCUUACACCUGAAAGACACUCGCCUACACCCGGGUCAUCCUGA
RNAcentral lists this transfer RNA (70 nucleotides) under Sasia ochracea. Its description in RNAcentral is "tRNA-Val". Lineage: Eukaryota; Metazoa; Chordata; Aves; Piciformes; Picidae. The record is from RNAcentral.